GCGCACGGGUGAGUAACACGUGAAUUAUCUACCUCCGAGUGGGAAUAACUGAGAGAAAUCUGUAGCUAAUACCGCAUAACACUUACGAGUCAAAGCAGCAAUGCGCUUGGAGAGGAGUUCGCGGCCGAUUAGCUUAGUUGGCGGGGUAAUGGCCCACCAAGGACUGUAUGAUCGGUAUCCGGCCUGAGAGGGCGCACGGACACACUGGAACUGAAACACGGUCCAGACUCCUACGGGAGGCAGCAGUGGGGAAUUUUGCGCAAUGGGGGAAACCCUGACGCAGCAACGCCGCGUGGAGGAUGAAGUACUCUC
RNAcentral lists this ribosomal RNA (312 nucleotides) under uncultured bacterium. Its description in RNAcentral is "bacterial SSU rRNA". It matches the Rfam family "Bacterial small subunit ribosomal RNA", at positions 98 to 420 of the family's 1533-position model. The record is from RNAcentral.